RNAcentral lists this ribosomal RNA (254 nucleotides) under uncultured bacterium. RNAcentral describes it as "partial 16S ribosomal RNA". It matches the Rfam family "Bacterial small subunit ribosomal RNA", at positions 524 to 777 of the family's 1533-position model. The record is from RNAcentral.
UACGUAGGGGGCAAGCGUUGUCCGGAGUUACUGGGCGUAAAGGGCACGCAGGCGGUUGUGUCAGUUUGCGGGGACAGUGGGUGGCUUAACUGCCCAAGGGUCGCAAAGACGGCACGACUGGAGAGCGAGAGAGGGACCUGGAACUCCGGGUGGAGCGGUGAAAUGCGUAGAGAUCGGGAGGAACACCCGUGGCGAAGGCGGCCAUCUGGACCAGCACUGACGCUGAGGCACGAAAGCGUGGGGAGCAAACAGGA